GACGAACGCUGGCGGCGUGCUUAACACAUGCAAGUCGAGCGGUAAGGCCCUUUCGGGGGUACACGAGCGGCGAACGGGUGAGUAACACGUGGGUGACCUGCCCUCAGCUCUGGGAUAAGCCUGGGAAACCGGGUCUAAUACUGGAUAUGACUCCAUGACGCAUGUUGUGGGGUGGAAAGCCUUGUGCGGCUGAGGAUGGGCCCGCGGCCUAUCAGCUUGUUGGUGGGGUGAUGGCCUACCAAGGCGACGACGGGUAGCCGGCCUGAGAGGGCGACCGGCCACACUGGGACUGAGACACGGCCCAGACUCCUACGGGAGGCAGCAGUGGGGAAUCUUGCGCAAUGGGCGAAAGCCCGACGCAGCGACGCCGCGUGAGGGAUGACGG
This 385-nucleotide ribosomal RNA is filed under the name uncultured bacterium. RNAcentral's name for it is "bacterial SSU rRNA". It matches the Rfam family "Bacterial small subunit ribosomal RNA", at positions 28 to 414 of the family's 1533-position model. The record is from RNAcentral.